GGUAGAGGUCUGGACACAGCGAGACUCACCUGGGUGUCACAAGGCUGAAAUCAAGGUUGGCAGCAGUUACAGCGAAGCUGGGCAGCUACCAGACAAUAGGAGAGUGGGGCAGAGACUACCUGGAGAGUAAAAACGCAGCAACGGUUGUGACUAACAGUCCUUGCUGAGGCAGCACCGAGUGUGGCCAAGGCAGAUAUAAGGAGCGAACCCUGUCUUUGGCAACAAGAAGAAACGAAAUACUGACCCGUGUUG
Molecule: long non-coding RNA, 252 nt
Organism: Neofelis nebulosa (Clouded leopard)
Lineage: Eukaryota; Metazoa; Chordata; Mammalia; Carnivora; Felidae
Exons: 3
Source: RefSeq, a predicted model, not a curated record